GAUGAACGCUGGCGGCGUGCCUAAUACAUGCAAGUCGAGCGAACGGACGAGAAGCUUGCUUCUCUGAUGUUAGCGGCGGACGGGUGAGUAACACGUGGAUAACCUACCUAUAAGACUGGGAUAACUUCGGGAAACCGGAGCUAAUACCGGAUAAUAUUUUGAACCGCAUGGUUCAAAAGUGAAAGACGGUCUUGCUGUCACUUAUAGAUGGAUCCGCGCUGCAUUAGCUAGUUGGUAAGGUAACGGCUUACCAAGGCAACGAUGCAUAGCCGACCUGAGAGGGUGAUCGGCCACACUGGAACUGAGACACGGUCCAGACUCCUACGGGAGGCAGCAGUAGGGAAUCUUCCGCAAUGGGCGAAAGCCUGACGGAGCAACGCCGCGUGAGUGAUGAAGGUCUUCGGAUCGUAAAACUCUGUUAUUAGGGAAGAACAUAUGUGUAAGUAACUGUGCACAUCUUGACGGUACCUAAUCAGAAAGCCACGGCUAACCACGUGCCAGCAGCCGCGGUAAUACGUAGGUGGCAAGCGUUAUCCGGAAUUAUUGGGCGUAAAGCGCGCGUAGGCGGUUUUUUAAGUCUGAUGUGAAAGCCCACGGCUCAACCGUGGAGGGUCAUUGGAAACUGGAAAACUUGAGUGCAGAAGAGGAAAGUGGAAUUCCAUGUGUAGCGGUGAAAUGCGCAGAGAUAUGGAGGAACACCAGUGGCGAAGGCGACUUUCUGGUCUGUAACUGACGCUGAUGUGCGAAAGCGUGGGGAUCAAACAGGAUUAGAUACCCUGGUAGUCCACGCCGUAAACGAUGAGUGCUAAGUGUUAGGGGGUUUCCGCCCCUUAGUGCUGCAGCUAACGCAUUAAGCACUCCGCCUGGGGAGUACGACCGCAAGGUUGAAACUCAAAGGAAUUGACGGGGACCCGCACAAGCGGUGGAGCAUGUGGUUUAAUUCGAAGCAACGCGAAGAACCUUACCAAAUCUUGACAUCCUUUGACAACUCUAGAGAUAGAGCUUUCCCCUUCGGGGGACAAAGUGACAGGUGGUGCAUGGUUGUCGUCAGCUCGUGUCGUGAGAUGUUGGGUUAAGUCCCGCAACGAGCGCAACCCUUAAGCUUAGUUGCCAUCAUUAAGUUGGGCACUCUAAGUUGACUGCCGGUGACAAACCGGAGGAAGGUGGGGAUGACGUCAAAUCAUCAUGCCCCUUAUGAUUUGGGCUACACACGUGCUACAAUGGACAAUACAAAGGGCAGCGAAACCGUGAGGUCAAGCAAAUCCCAUAAAGUUGUUCUCAGUUCGGAUUGUAGUCUGCAACUCGACUACAUGAAGCUGGAAUCGCUAGUAAUCGUAGAUCAGCAUGCUACGGUGAAUACGUUCCCGGGUCU
This 1372-nucleotide ribosomal RNA is filed under the name uncultured bacterium. RNAcentral's name for it is "bacterial SSU rRNA". It matches the Rfam family "Bacterial small subunit ribosomal RNA", at positions 28 to 1381 of the family's 1533-position model. The record is from RNAcentral.